AACGAACGCUGGCGGCAGGCCUAACACAUGCAAGUCGAGCGAGAACUUCGGUUCUAGCGGCGGUCGUGUGAUUACCGCGUGGGAAUGUGCCCUUCUCUACGGUAUACCCCUGGGAAACUUGGCUUCAUACCGUUUACGCCCUAUUGGGGUAAGAUUUAUCGGAGAAGGAUCAGCCCGCGUUGGAUUCGGUAGUUGGUGGGGUAAUGGCCUACCAAGCAGACGAUGCAUAGCUGGUUUGAGACGAGGAUCAUCCACACUGGGACUGAGACACGGACCAGACUCCUACGGGAGGCAGCAGUGGGGAAUCUUAGACAAGGGGGGCAACCCUGAUCUAGCCAUGCCGCGGGAGAGAUGAAGGCCUUAGGGUUGUAAAGCUCUUUCAGCUGGGAAGAUAAUGACGGUACCAGCAGAAGAAGCCCCGGCUAACUCCGUG
RNAcentral lists this ribosomal RNA (433 nucleotides) under uncultured bacterium. RNAcentral's name for it is "partial 16S ribosomal RNA". It matches the Rfam family "Bacterial small subunit ribosomal RNA", at positions 29 to 507 of the family's 1533-position model. The record is from RNAcentral.